This 400-nucleotide ribosomal RNA is filed under the name uncultured bacterium. RNAcentral describes it as "partial 16S ribosomal RNA". It matches the Rfam family "Bacterial small subunit ribosomal RNA", at positions 338 to 735 of the family's 1533-position model. The record is from RNAcentral.
CCUACGGGGGGCAGCAGUGAGGAAUAUUGGUCAAUGGACGCGAGCCUGAACCAGCCAUGUAGCGUGAAGGAUGACUGCCCUACGGGUUGUAAACUUCUUUUGUACAGGAAUAAAGUGAGGCACGUGUGCCUGUUUGUAUGUACUUUAUGAAUAAGGAUCGGCUAACUCCGUGCCAGCAGCCGCGGUAAUACGGAGGAUCCGAGCGUUAUCCGGAUUUAUUGGGUUUAAAGGGAGCGUAGAUGGUUUGUUAAGUUAGUUGUGAAAGUUUGCGGCUCAACCGUAAAAUUGCAAUUGAUACUGGCAGUCUUGAGUACAGUUGAGGUAGGCGGAAUGUGUGGUGUAGCGGUGAAAUGCUUAGAUAUCAUACAGAACACCGAUUGCGAAGGCAGCUUACCAAACU